This 253-nucleotide ribosomal RNA is filed under the name uncultured bacterium. RNAcentral describes it as "partial 16S ribosomal RNA". It matches the Rfam family "Bacterial small subunit ribosomal RNA", at positions 524 to 776 of the family's 1533-position model. The record is from RNAcentral.
UACGUAGGGUGCGAGCGUUAAUCGGAAUUACUGGGCGUAAAGCGCGUGUAGGCGGCCUCGCAAGUCGGGUGUGAAAGCCCUGGGCUCAACCCAGGAAGUGCACUCGAUACUGCAAGGCUUGAGUUCCGGAGAGGAAAGCGGAAUUCUCGGUGUAGAGGUGAAAUUCGUAGAUAUCGAGAGGAACACCGGUGGCGAAGGCGGCUUUCUGGACGGCGACUGACGCUGAGACGCGAAAGCGUGGGGAGCAAACAGG